Small nucleolar RNA from Vicia villosa (hairy vetch), 108 nucleotides. The record is from RefSeq and is a predicted model, not a curated record. NCBI's taxonomy places the organism in Eukaryota, Viridiplantae, Streptophyta, Magnoliopsida, Fabales, Fabaceae.
AAGCCCAUGGAAAGGGCACAAUCUUAAAAAAAUCUUUGAAACCCUCCCACGCGUCAAACAGGGAUUCACCGCCAUCUUGUCUAAAGUUGUUUAUUUCGCCUCUUACCU